GCGGGAGUAGCUCAGUUGGUAGAGCAUCACCUUGCCAAGGUGAGGGUCGCGGGUUCAAGUCCCGUCUCCCGCU
Molecule: transfer RNA, 73 nt
Filed under: Caldifarciminota bacterium
Lineage: Bacteria; Pseudomonadati; Caldifarciminota
Also listed under: 1 other name
Description: tRNA-Gly
Rfam family: tRNA
About the family: Transfer RNA (tRNA) molecules are approximately 80 nucleotides in length. Their secondary structure includes four short double-helical elements and three loops (D, anti-codon, and T loops).
Source: RNAcentral